This 1009-nucleotide ribosomal RNA is filed under the name Nocardiopsis sp. VJSY-1. RNAcentral's name for it is "bacterial SSU rRNA". It matches the Rfam family "Bacterial small subunit ribosomal RNA", at positions 531 to 1522 of the family's 1533-position model. The record is from RNAcentral. Lineage: Bacteria; Bacillati; Actinomycetota; Actinomycetes; Streptosporangiales; Nocardiopsidaceae.
GGGGCCGACGUUGCUCGGAAUGAUUGGGCGUAAAGAGCUCGUAGGCGGCGUGUCGCGUCUGCUGUGAAAGACCGGGGCUUAACUCCGGUUCUGCAGUGGAUACGGGCAUGCUAGAGGUAGGUAGGGGAGACUGGAAUUCCUGGUGUAGCGGUGAAAUGCGCAGAUAUCAGGAGGAACACCGGUGGCGAAGGCGGGUCUCUGGGCCUUACCUGACGCUGAGGAGCGAAAGCAUGGGGAGCGAACAGGAUUAGAUACCCUGGUAGUCCAUGCCGUAAACGUUGGGCGCUAGGUGUGGGGACUUUCCACGGUUUCCGCGCCGUAGCUAACGCAUUAAGCGCCCCGCCUGGGGAGUACGGCCGCAAGGCUAAAACUCAAAGGAAUUGACGGGGGCCCGCACAAGCGGCGGAGCAUGUUGCUUAAUUCGACGCAACGCGAAGAACCUUACCAAGGUUUGACAUCACCCGUGGACCUGUAGAGAUACAGGGUCAUUUAGUUGGUGGGUGACAGGUGGUGCAUGGCUGUCGUCAGCUCGUGUCGUGAGAUGUUGGGUUAAGUCCCGCAACGAGCGCAACCCUUGUUCCAUGUUGCCAGCACGUAAUGGUGGGGACUCAUGGGAGACUGCCGGGGUCAACUCGGAGGAAGGUGGGGACGACGUCAAGUCAUCAUGCCCCUUAUGUCUUGGGCUGCAAACAUGCUACAAUGGCCGGUACAAUGGGCGUGCGAUACCGUAAGGUGGAGCGAAUCCCUUAAAGCCGGUCUCAGUUCGGAUUGGGGUCUGCAACUCGACCCCAUGAAGGUGGAGUCGCUAGUAAUCGCGGAUCAGCAACGCCGCGGUGGAAUACGUUCCCGGGGCCUUGUACACACCGCCCCGUCACGUCAUGAAAGUCGGCAACACCCGAAACUUGCGGCCUAACCCUUCGGGGAGGGAGUGAGUGAAAGGUGGGGCUGGCGAUUGGGACGAACUAGAAAGGGGGCCCCCCCAUAUAAAAAAAAGCGGGGGGGGAAGGGG